UCGGUUGCGUUUGGGAUUGUUAUUGUGUUGGUCGCUAGUUCGAAAUGUUUAACAUUGUUCAAACUAAUAUUAAUACAUCAAUUGAAUUCCAUAUACUGUUUUGCAGUGUAUAAAAUUAUUAAAACUUAGAUUCUACGUUAUAUUAAUACAAAAUGAAAAUUAUGUUGAACUUAUUAUUUUCUUUGUGGUGUCAAUCAGAACGGCUAAAGCCGUUCUCGGUCCAUCUUGCCUAUGUUGAACUUUAUUGCAGAGUUGUGUAUGGAUAAGUGGUAAAAGGCGAAAAGGAUGCUGACAUCGAUACACUUGUGUCCAUACAAGUGAAUCAAAUUAAAAGCUUUUCUGCACCUUGAUGAAUGAAAGUGCUAACGAAACAAGAGCUAACUGAUAUAGGAAAAAUUGGUAAAACGAGACAAGUUUACCUGAAACUUCUAAUGGUUUAAUAAAUAAAAGUUCGUCGAAACAUUGAAUUCGCAAAUCGAAGUGUUUAUGUUUGUAGGUGAUAAAUAAAAGUGAAUUACAAAGAAAAUUUUUCUGUACCAUAAGGUAUGAAAGUUCAACGUAAAAUGAGUGUAAUGAAAUCCUAUGCUAAUGCUAAAUAGUUUUACCCCCUGUUAAGGGUUACAAAGAAAAGUGUGAAACAAAUUCACCUUGGCAAAUAAUGCAUUACUGAAAAAGCAGGCCUUCUGAUUUUGUACGAGUAGAGUUACUAUUGGACUAUACUCGUGGAUUAAAAUAAUUUUCAAUAUAACGAACUGAUCAACGAUGGUAUGACGAAUCAUAGAACAACACAAGUUAUUUUGAUUUACUCAAAAUGAAGCUUCCAGAAACUCGAGCGGCAACUUUAACACUAAUCGUUAUUCAAGUACUAUUAGCUUUAUGGCGAUGCGUCAGCGGCUAUAUGGUUAUCGUCAGUGAAAGUGAUGAGCCUGGGAAAAUAGUUUUUAAUGCAUCAGUGUACAAACUUGGAUCCGAGCGGCAUUAUAAGAUUAAUGCACAUAAGUCCGCCCAUUUUGUUCAUCAUUUACUUAAGGUUGACCCGCAUAAUGGACAAAUCUGGUUGAGGAAAUCUUUGAAAUGUGAUGGUAUCUAUUAUCCUAACUUAUUCACGUUUUAUGUGGAUUCUACUUCAAAUAGACUUCGAAGUAUAGAUUAUUAUAGCUUACCAUUACGUUUAUUCAUCGCUGGAUCAAAUUGUACGGAUGAUAAGGUUGCCGAAGGCUUUAGAAAAAAUUUCGAGGAAGAUGACACAGGCUACAAUCGAAGGCGAAAACGAACAAUAGACGAACAUGAUCUACGAACGUAUGGCCAAUACCUGGGAAGUAAUAAUGCUAAUUACUAUACCCAACAUUCACAUUCAGUGACUAACUAUACUGCCUUUCAAGAUGGUGAUAUUCUUUUUGAUAAUAGCAAGAAAAACAAACUUCGUCAUGUAAUAAUUGUAAGAAAAAAACGUGGAAUGAUUGAGCCGGGCGAAGAACGAAUGCACCGUCAAAUUAACGACGCCAAACAGUGGAUAUCAGAAACGUAUGCCUCCUAUGCCAUCCACACUACAGAUAAAUGGAACAAGAUUUGUCUAAAAAAGUCUCAGUAUAUUAAUUCAAUAAACUCAUUUUUGCCGAAAACUGUUUUGCAAUAUUGUUUCGUGAAAUAUUUAGACGUUAACGAUGGUAGAUUUAAAAUCGAGACUCUAUCAGGCGAUUUAGUAGUUUCUGAUGAUCUAUGCAUAUCAGAAUCGCUAUGGAAAGUAUCCGUUACUUAUAAUGUAAAAUGUGAUCGUAGGGAUAUCAUUGACGCAGACCAUCGAUUAAAGAUAGUUUAUCAUCAUCAUGAACUGAACGACACAGAUAUAGCGAAACGUGUUAAACGAGAACUUAGAAAUCAAAGCCCUUAUUUUGAGCAGGCAUUAUACGUUGCGUCAGUGCAAGAAGAACAAACACCAGGCACAGCAAUCACAACAGUUCGUGCUCGAGAUCCUGAGGAUUCUCCUGUAGUUUACUCAAUGGUGUCGUUAUUGGAUUCCAGGUCACAAUCAAUGUUCAAAGUAGACGCGCGCACGGGUAUCGUAACUACGGUAGCUAGCCUUGAUCGCGAAUUAAUGGACGUUCAUUAUUUCCGAGUGAUUGCUACUGAUGACAGUUUCCCACCACGAUCAGGCACUACCACGCUUCAGGUUAAUGUAUUAGAUUGUAAUGAUCACGCCCCAACAUUCGAGUCCGAGGAGUUUCAAGCCAGUAUUCGAGAAGGAACCAGUGUAGGAUCGACCGUUAUUACCAUUCGUGCUACGGACCAGGAUAUUGGUAAAAAUGCUGAAAUCGAAUAUGCUUUAUUAAGUAUAAGUAGUGAUGGUGCUAUAACUGUUGACCAAGACGAGCAGGUAUUCCGAAUAGAUGCCCGCAGUGGAACAAUAUCAACUCGCAGUGCAUUGGAUCGAGAAACAUCGGAUGUUUAUACAAUCAUUGUCAGUGCCACCGAUAUGGCCACCCCUCAGAUGGAAAGAAAAUCUGCAACAGCAACAGUAUUGGUGAAAAUUUUAGACGAUAAUGACAACUAUCCACAAUUCACCGAAAGAACGUAUACUGUGCAAGUGAAGGAAGAUAAAUGGGCAAAUGAGAAUAACGUUAUCGCACAUAUUCAUGCUACAGACUCGGAUCACGGAAAUAAUGCCGCUAUUAGAUAUGCAAUUAUCGGCGGCAACACACAAUCUCAGUUUUCGAUCGAUUCUAUGAGUGGAGAUGUGUCACUUGUGAAACCAUUAGAUUACGAAAGUGUUCGAAGCUAUCGAUUAGUAAUUCGAGCUCAAGAUGGUGGAAGUCCAUCGCGCAGUAAUACUACGCAACUACUGGUGAACGUCUUGGAUGCGAACGACAACGCACCACGAUUUUAUACAUCCCAGUUCCAAGAAGCAGUUUUGGAGAGCGUUCCCGUUGGUUAUAAUAUCGUUAGAGUGCAAGCCUAUGACUCAGACGAAGGAGCCAACUCCGAAAUUUCGUAUAGUAUACGCGACAGAGAAGAUAACUUGCCAUUGACGGUUGACGCCAGAACUGGAUGGAUUCACACCACCAAGUCAUUAGAUCGCGAAGAACAAAGUCGUUACAGUUUACAAGUUGUUGCUGUAGAUGGUGGAAUACCACCAAAAUCGGCUAGUACCUCUGUCGUCGUAUCAAUUCAAGAUGUAAACGACAACGAUCCAACUUUCAAUCCAAAAUAUUAUGAAGCCACCAUUGCAGAAGAUCAGCCGCCUGGUAGUCCCAUAGCUACGGUUACCGCUACAGACCCUGAUGAAGAUUCACGAUUGCAUUACGAAAUAUCUGCAGGCAACACAAGAGGUCGUUUUUCAAUAACAUCACAAAAUGGACGUGGUUUAAUAACGAUUGCUCAGCCUCUGGAUUACAAACAAGAAAGAAGAUUUGCAUUAACUAUUACUGCAACCGAUAGCGGCCAGCGAACUGAUACGGCUAUCGUGAAUAUCAAUAUAACUGAUGCUAAUAACUUUGCGCCAGUAUUUGAGAAUGCCCCCUACUCAGCGUCGGUUUUCGAAGAUGCACCUAUUGGUACUACGGUUUUAGUAGUAUUCGCUACGGAUAGUGACGUUGGAAUCAACGCUCAAAUUACAUAUAUAUUGAAUGAUGAAUCUGUAAAUGGACUUGGAAAUAAUGAACCGUUCAGUAUAAAUCCACAAACAGGAGCUAUAGUUACAAAUGCUCCUAUUGAUAGAGAAACGACUAGUGGUUAUCUGUUAACAGUCACAGCUAAAGAUGGUGGAAACCCGUCACUUAGCGAUACGACUGAUGUUGAGAUUAGUGUUACAGAUGUAAACGAUAAUGCACCUCAAUUCAAAGUUCCACUUUACCAAGCGACCAUAGCAGAAGAUGCUUUGAUAGGAACAUCAGUUGUUCAGAUUGCCGCCACUGAUAUAGAUAUGGGAUUAAAUGGUAGAGUAAAAUAUACACUCAGUCCUAAAGACUUGGAGGAUGGCUCGUUCAUAGUCGAUCCAGUUUCCGGCAUUAUAAGAACCAACAAAGGCCUCGAUCGUGAGAGCAUAGCUGUCUAUCAUCUCAUAGCAAUUGCAACAGAUAAGGGUACACCGGCUCUUAGUAGUUCAGUAGAAGUACAAAUUCGAUUAGAUGAUGUCAAUGAUUCACCUCCUACGUUUCCUUCGGAUAAAAUUACGUUGUAUGUACCGGAAAACAGCCCAGUUGGAUCGGUAGUAGGUGAGAUUCACGCACACGAUCCGGAUGAAGGAGUAAAUGCGAUAAUUCAUUAUUCAAUAAUCGGUGGCGAUGAUUCAAACUCAUUUUCUCUAGUCACAAGACCCGGUUCAGAAAGAGCACAACUAUUAACUAUGACUGAACUAGAUUAUGAAUCAACCAAAAAACGAUUUGAAUUGGUUAUACGGGCUGCUAGUCCACCGUUGAGGAAUGACGUACAUGUGGAGAUUCUUGUGACCGACGUAAACGAUAACGCCCCAGUUCUUCGAGACUUCCAAGUAAUAUUCAACAAUUUUAGGGACUGUUUUCCCAGUGGAAUUAUUGGAAGAAUACCAGCAUUCGAUGCAGAUGUAACAGACAAAUUAACAUAUCGAAUAUUAUCAGGAAAUAAUGCAAAUUUAGUAAAGCUAAAUAACUCAAGCGGUGGUUUAAUGUUGAGCCCACAAUUAAAUACAAACGUUCCAAAAUUCGCUACAAUGGAAGUUUCAGUAUCCGAUGGCAUUAACGAAGCAAAAGCUAUUAUGCAACUGAUGGUUCGACUAAUCACAGAAGACAUGCUUUUUAAUUCAGUUACCGUGCGCCUAGACGAAAUGACCGAGGGAGCGUUUCUAUCGCCAUUGUUGAACUUUUUUGUCGAUGGUCUUGCUGCCAUUAUACCAUGUCCUAAGGAAAAUAUAUACCUAUUCUCGAUACAAGAUGACACUGAUGUGAAUUCCAGAAUACUCAAUGUUAGCUUCUCAGCCCGCCGCCCGGAUGUGUCGUUUGAAGAGUAUUACACACCUCAAUACCUCCAAGAAAGGGUUUAUCUAAAUCGAGCAAUUUUGGCUCGUUUGGCUACUGUACAAGUUUUGCCAUUUGAUGAUAAUAUUUGUGUUCGAGAGCCUUGUUUGAACUACGAACAGUGUUUAUCAGUUCUAAAAUUUGGUAAUGCAUCCGGUUUCAUUCAUAGUGAUACAGUACUGUUCAGGCCAAUUUAUCCUGUAAACACAUUUGCGUGUAAAUGCCCUGAAGGUUUUACUGGUAGUAAAGAGCAUUACUUGUGCGAUACUGAAGUGGACCUAUGUUACUCUGAACCGUGUCAAAAUGGCGGCAGUUGUAUUCGGAGAGAAGGAGGAUAUACAUGUGCUUGUACAGAACUAUUCACUGGUAUCAUUUGUGAAACUGAGAUAAGAAACUUAAAACCGUGCGUAGCCGAUACAUGUAGUGAUGGGUAUAACUGUCUCACACAUACUUUGAAUAUUCCACAUAGCCCAUCAUACACAAGAACGUGUGAACUCGUUUCGAGGUCGUUUACGAAAAAUUCGUUUCUCACGUUCCCUAGUUUGAAACAGAGGCAUAGAUUCAACAUAAGGUUGAACCUGGCAACGGUUCGUGACAACGGGUUGAUACUUUAUAAUGGCAGAUACAAUGAACAGCAUGAUUUCAUAGCCCUAGAAAUCAUCAACGGACGUGUUAUGUUUUCGUUCUCCCUUGGUGACAAAAUUGAAUCAGUUAUGGUGGAUGACAACAAAAGAUUAUCUGAUGGAAGCUGGCACUCAAUUGAAGUGAACUAUUUCAACCGCUCUGUGAUGCUUUCGGUUGAUAAUUGUGAUACAGCAUUGGCCUUGGCCGAUCUUGGUGAGCGUUGGAACUGCGCUAACCAAACUACGGCUAUACUGGAUCGCAGAUGCACAUCUUUAACAGAAUCAUGUCACCGGUUUCUAGACCUUACUGGACCUUUGCAGAUCGGUGGCCUUCCAAAAAUUCCUGCUCAUUUUCAGAUACAAUCACACAACUUCAUCGGAUGUAUUUCGGAUUUGUACAUCGAUCAUAAAUAUAUUGAUCUUAAUUCAUUCAUUGCCGAUAAUGGGACUAUUGCAGGCUGUCCUCAAAAGUCAGCUUCGUGUGCUUCGGAGCCUUGCUUUAAUGGCGGAACUUGUCGAGAGGGCUGGGGCGAAGGCUGGGAAUGUGACUGUCCCGACGGAUUUACUGGCAAUGCUUGUCAAGAGUCAGUCACUUUGCCUUGGCGUUUCAAUGGAGAUGGAAUAUUGAGUUUCAAUCCCUUGCUACGACCUAUUCAAUUACCUUGGUUAACUGCAUUGUCUGUUAAAACAAGGCAAAAGGAUGCUUUUCUAAUGCAGGUGCAAGUAGGUCAAAAUAGCUCUGCAGUUGUGUCCUUACACAAUGGUAUUUUAUAUUAUACAUACGAUUCGGAACCUAUGUUCUUGGCAGGAACAAAUCUCGCAGACGGCAAAUGGCACCGGAUAGAAAUAAAAUGGCUUGGUACAGAAGUAUCACUUUCAAUAGAUUAUGGCCAACGGACGGGUGUUCUACCAAUGAUGCAGAAAAUCCAGGGUUUGUAUGUUGGACGUAUCGUGAUUGGCGGAUCUGAAGGUAGUGGAACGGUUUAUGGAAACUAUGGGUAUUUUGAAGGUUGUAUUCAAGAUAUUCGCGUAGGAGGCAGUCAGUCAGUCUUGAAUCGUCCAACCAUUCGAGAGAAUGUGAUCGAUGGGUGCACUUCAAAUGCAAAGUGUCCGAAUAACUGUCCGGAAUAUUCAACAUGUGUAACAACUUGGGAUGAGGCUCGUUGUGAAUGUAAUCAUGGUUAUGUAGGAGCAAAUUGUUUGCCUGUGUGUACAGCUAAACCUUGCGCGGAUAACGGUUACUGUCGAAGUGACAUGUCAAACAAAAAGGGAUAUCGGUGCGAAUGCAAUAGUACGGCGAGUUUUGGUGAAUAUUGCGAAGUCACUACUCAGCACCCAUGUCCUGCUGGAUGGUGGGGUGAACGAGGUUGUGGACCAUGUAAGUGUAAUUUGAAGCAAGGUUAUCAUCCCGAUUGCAAUAAAAUGACAGGUCAGUGCUACUGCCGAGAAAAUCAUUAUCAACUACCUAAUGAUACAACCUGUUUGCCAUGUGAAUGUUACGCAAUUGGAUCGUACGGAAAAUCUUGCAAUAGUUCCGGACAAUGUGAAUGUCGUGAUGGAGUUAUUGGACGAAGAUGUGAUUCAUGUUCCAAUCCAUAUGCGGAGGUAACAUUGAAUGGAUGCGAAGUGAUAUACGAUGCUUGUCCAAAAUCUUUCUCGGCUGGGUUGUGGUGGCCCAGAACAGCUUUUGGUGAGAUGGCUGUCGAAAACUGUCCUUCACCAGCAAGAGGAAAAAGUAUACGCAAAUGUGAUUUAAUGCAAGGAGGCUGGGGCCAAUCUGAAAUGUUCAACUGUACGUCCGAGCAAUUUUUGGAUCUUCGAAAACAACUUUCUCAAAUCGAAGCUGAGGGAUUGGAACUAAAUUCUUUUGUAUCCGUCAAAAUAGCAGCUAAUUUACAGCGUGCUUGUGAUAGUGUAGCGCGAGGAUCAGAUAACCGCAAACAAUCCAGUCUGUUAAGGGAUAUGUAUAUGUUAGAAUCGUCUUUCGCUUUUAAUAACGCUUUGUGGCAAUCGGAUGAACUCGAAUUCGAUUAUUUAAGUGAUAUGCAAAAUAACAAACAGGACAAACUGUAUGGUGCUGAUCUUCUGAUAACUGAGCGACUGUUACAUGAGUUAAUUAAUUAUGAAAUCCGUCAGAAUGGUUUGAAUUUAUCUCACAGUCAAGACAAGCAUUUCAUCAGAAACUUAAUCGAAAGUGCUAGUACUAUACUAGAUUCUCGUUAUCAUCAAGAAUGGAAACGCCUGACAGAAUUAACCCAACGAGGACCAAAUGAUUUGAUAGAAGCAUUCAACAAAUACAUGACGGUAUUGGGACGAUCACAGCAUGACACCUAUACUAAUCCGUUUGAAAUUGUUCACGAGAAUAUGGCUUUUGGAUUAGAUAUUGUGACAACCGAGUCAUUGUUUGGGUACGAACCACAGUUGUUAACUGGAUCUCCAAAACACAACAGCAACACCAAUGUAUUUACCACGGAAAGUGUAAUUCUGCCCGAUACUAGUUCAUUCUUGAUGCAUUCUAAUAAAUAUAAAAACCCACAGAUAUCAUUUCCGAAGUACAAUAAUUAUAUUCAAGAUAAGAGCAAGUUUGACCGACACAGUAGAAUUAUAGUUCCACUUAAUAUGCUGGGCAUUUCACAACCGGAUAAAAAUGAAGUGACCAAUUUUAUCAGUGAUUAUCGCGCUAUUGUUUGUUAUGCGCAGUACAAAGAAGUUGGAUUAUUGUUUCCGACAAAUUUCGAUGAGACUAUCACUCGACGAUGGGGUGUUGAUGUACAAAUCGCUAGUCCAGUGAUUUCUCUCGCAAUCCUUGUUCCUAAUAUCACUGACAAGUUUGAUGAUAAAGCUAUGUUGGAACGAGAUGUAAAUAGAGUAUAUAAAAAACAAUCUGAUAAGUUGACUGAACUACUGCACGAGCAAGAUAAUGAGAAACAAACAAAUCAAAUUGAAAUUUCUAUACAUGAUAUGAGCGAACAUAAUAAUCUUGCAAACCUAGACGAACAGCGGGAGAUUGUUAUGAGCUUCGACGAAAAUCCGUUUGAAGUAUCAAAUGUACAAGAUACUGUUGUACUAUCUCCAACUGCUAAAUACGAUACCACAUAUGAACUGGAAGAAAGGACAUUCAGCAAGAUGAAAAAACGUAGUGUAAUACAGCAACAAAUUACAAGUCCGAUUUCUCAAGACAAUCAGUAUAAACAAAUAGAUUACAAAUCCAUAGGAAAUCCGCAUCUUUCACAACCAAUUAAACUGCAAUUGUGGCUUCAUAUUCCGAGAAAUUGGUUUGGUCCUCGAUCAAAUCCACAAUGUGUUCGAUGGAACUCACACGCAAACUUAUGGACCAGAUUAGGAUGCCAGACAGAUAUCCCUGAAUACGACUUGUUGUCGUUGAACGAUACUAUUUUAAUCAAUUGCACUUGUAGUCAAAUAUCGAGCUUUGCUGUUUUAGUCGAUGUGAUCAAUCCUGAAGAUAUUCCCGAACCUUCGCUAUUGGUACAGAUCACGUCAUAUUCUGCAUUCAUGAUGUCAUUACCAAUAUUGUUUACGGUAAUACUAUCACUGGCGUCACUCCGAGGUCUUCAAACCAAUUCUAACACAAUUCAUCAGAAUUUAUUACUUUGUAUUUUUAUGGCUGAGUUGCUGUUUUUCGUCGGGAUUCAGGCUCGAAAGGAACUCAUCGAUAAUGAGUUUUCAUGCAAAUUAGUGGCAAUCGCACUGCAUUAUGCAUGGCUGGCGGCCUUUGCAUGGACAACGGUGGAUUGUGUUCAUUUAUAUCGUAUGCUGACCGAAAUGCGUGAUAUUAAUCAUGGUCCAAUGGGAUUCUACUACACUUUAGGGUACGGCUCUCCGGCUCUACUAGUUGGACUUUCUGUUGGUGUUCGUGUCCACGAAUAUGGUAACAACGUGUUUUGUUGGUUAUCGGUGUACGAAUCCGUUAUUUGGUGGCUGGUUGGACCGAUUGUAGCAAUGUCAAUUAUAGACCUUCUUAUAUUAUUUUUAUCUGUAAAAGCAGCGUUUACUAUAAAGGACCACGUGUUAGGAUUCGGAAACCUACGUACAUUGUUGUGGCUUUCGGUGGUUUCGCUUCCUUUGAUGGGUAUUAUGUGGGUUUUGGCAGUUUUAGCGGCUUCAGAAAGUUCUCAACUGUUGAAGAUUUCGCUAUCUGCUACAGUUCUAAUUCACGCGUUUUUCUCGGUUAUUGGAUACUGUAUAAUAAAUAAACGUGUUCGAGAAAAUCUACAUCGGACAUUUUUGAAAUGUAUGGGUCGAAAAGUACCUCUGUUAGAUUCGUCUUUAGCAGUGAGCAGCAGCUCUCAGAAUAUAGGUCAAAUGCCGAAAACACCAGGUUUUUCAAAUCAGUAUGAUACAUCACGACGUAACAUGGGAAUAAGUACAUCUAGUACAACAUCUAGAAGUACAACAAAAACUAGCUCGAGUCCUUAUAGAAGCGAUGGUCAAUUUCGUCAUACUUCCACGUCUACUUCAAACUACAAUUCAAAUAGUGAGGGAGUACCAUCUUAUUUGCGAGGCUACGAUAGUGGAGGCAUGCGAAAGAAUACAGAAGGAAAUGACAAUUCAACGCACUAUAAAAAAAGUAAGCGCCAUAAAAGAGAUUCCGAUUCUGGAAGUGAAACUGAUGGUCGUAGUCUAGAAUUGGCUUCGAGUCAUUCGAGUGACGAUGAAGAAUCUCGCGUCGGUCGAAAUAGUAGUACCCAUCGUAGCACAGGUGUUUCCUCGACGUCCUACUUACCGAACAUAACAGAACAUGUGGCCACCACACCACCAGAACUGCAUGUAGUACAAAGUCCACAGUUAUUUCCAAAUAUGAAUGCGUCUCGUUGGUCAAGUCAAGCACCCGAAUCAUAUUUAUCUGGAGCAAAUGUUGGUCGUUGGUCACAAGAGACAGGGUCCGACAAUGAAAUACAUACGCAUAGCUCAGGAAUUGCAAAUACACUUCCCAGUCCAGAUAUUACCGAUACUUCAUAUCUACAUCAGAAUCGAAAGAAUAUAGCUCCUUCCUUACUCGAAAAUAUUCAGGAAAAUUACACAUAUUCUAAUCAGGAUUUGCGAAGUGAUAAAUUUAGUAACAAUGGAAGCGACCAGUGCACAGACGGGUAUAGAGACUAUGAAGGAAAUCACCAACGUAAUACUUUGCCGUAUAUGUCUGGUAGCUUGAAUCAUCGUUCAGGCUCAACACAAUUGAUUAAUCACAUGCGCUCCUAUAAUCACGACAUCCCGUAUGUUCUGAAGGACACGAUAUAUGAUAGAUCCAAUACAUUGGGUUACAAAACAGAAUCGCCGUAUAUGUCUAAAGAGCGUAUAGCAUCUGACUUGUAUAGUCCCCGUACUGACAGUCACGGAUCAUUCAAGGCUAGUGUUCAAUCAUUACUUAAGAACGAUUAUCAACGGCAUAAGCAGGGAGCUGAUUCUGAUCGUAUGUCUGAAGGUUCUGACAAAAAUCCGUACAAUUUUCCUUAUACCGCUGAGGAGGACCACUCCAGCCACUCCGUUGUCAGAUCAAUUGAUUUAGGUAAUUCAGUAAAUUAUCGACUAAAUCUAGGUAGUUCCAUUCAACCGAUGGCUCCAUUGACCAAUGUCAACGAUAGCACCGAAUGGUGUUGGGAUCGAUUGAAAAGUCUUGACUAGACACUGAUAACAAAUUUAUAAUCAUAUGAAUUGUGCAGCAAUAUAUUUAUCAAGGCACACUCCUUAGCUCUAGCUCUCUGUCGAGGGGAAAUGGAUGUUCUUAAUGGAGAAUAAAACAAAUCGACGAGGAAACUACAGUGUAGUGUACCGAAACAUCUCUAUAAAAAGAAACUUGAAUUGUACAAAAUGGCACUCUGUGUUCUCAGGAUUAGUGUUCUCUGAAACUAAACAACUCCUAAGUAAGCUUCUUCAAUUAUAGAAUAGCAUUUAUAUUUUAGAUAUAGAAUAAAAACAACCAGUGGAUUUUUUAAUGUAAAUAUAUUUUUGCUGUCUAUGUUAAGUAAUCCAAAGCUAUUUCGGAGACGCGUCUACGUGCUUUUUAUAGAUUUAUUUAGCAUGUGUAGUAUUUAUUUGAUCAACACCGGUAUACAAAAUUUUUAUAUUGACGAAUUUUAAAACACGUUUUGUGAAAGUAAAAGUCUGAAGUUAGUAGGAGAAUUUUUUCGUAAAGUAAUAUAUCUAGAUAAUAUGAUUUUUAAUACUCGAGUUAACGUAACAUCUAAACCAUAUGCCUUAACAUUGUUCUAAUCUCCUAAAUUUGUCGUCGGCUUGACUCUAUGUUAAACCUAUUCCCUAUUUAAUCAUAACAAAAUCAUUUGAUUUAUAACCAAAAAGCCCAUAAAAACAGAUUCUUUUUGUUCUUGUGUAAAAGACUUAAUUCAUUUAUGUAACUGCUGCUAUAUUCUUCCCCAAAGGCCAAUUUCAUAUUUUUGAAUUCAAUAUUGGAACAAGAAUCCAUUUUAUACUCAUGGCAUUUAAUGAAAAAGUAAUCGAAAUGCGAUACUGUAAAAUGAAUCUAGAAAAUAGCUCAAGUCGAGAAUUGAACAAAUAAACCAAUUGUGACUGAGAUAAGAAAAGAGCAAAUUACUGAUAUAUUAUAUAUAAAAUGAUAUAAAUAAUAAUGGUAAACAUUGAUGAAAUAUAACAUUCCAUUCUUUAGCAUCAAGAAAGUGAUAAAAUAAAAAAUGUUUAACCAUUGAAUUCCAACUCUUUUAAAAACAUGUAUAAAAGACGUGACAUCACAGAUACGUAUUCCGAAUGCUACUUACAUUCUUCAUCAGUGUAUCUAGUUUCAAAUUACUUAGAAACCCGAUACACGGAUGAAGAAUGUAAGUAGCAUUCGAAAUACGUAUCUGUGAUGUGACGUCUUUUAUACAUGUUUUUAAAAGUGUUGUUGUCAUACAUACUGAAAUGUGUAUAGUGACGUGAUAUACUUAUAGUAUAGAAAUCAAUGGUUAAAAUUUUUUUUAUUAUAUCAUAAAUAUUCUACUAAACACUCAGACCCUGUUAAUUAGUAUCAAGAAAGUGCCUAAAGUUUAGGCGAGUUUGAGCGCUUAUUAAAAAAAAUACAACACCAUUAGGAGGCAGCUAGGAAUGGAAAAAUUAUAUACAUAUAUACAUUCUGACACGUAUUAUACGUGAUAUUUAUUACACGAUUUUAGGAAACCAACUUUUUAUCAAACUUUCUAUGCUAGAACAUUGCCAAGAAACGUUUAUAUGUUGGGCAGUUGGUGCCAUAAUCUCUUACCAUGCCAAUUUAAAAUAAAAUCUUAUUUAUUUUGUUUGCUAUGUACCGUAAAGUAUUGCUUGAAAUCUGCACAUGAUAUGAUUCUAAUAUUUAAAAUUAUACCUUCGAGUUUCUUAAUAUUUUAAAAAUUUAAAUUGAAAUCGCUUGUUACAUUCCAACUUUUGUUAUCCAAGGAUAUUAAAAGACUACUUGAACUCAUCGAAGACACUUUUAAAUAUCUCUCUACUAAAAUGUUCAUGUCAAAAAUUUGUUCAAAAAUCCUUAGAUUUAUUAGAAACAAAUUGAGUCCCUAAGUUUUUGACAGAAUAUGAUUUUGAAUAGCUCUACUGUAUCAUAACUUUAUCCGGUUUCCAGUCAUGCCUGGGAAAAAGUAAAUAGAUUUAUAUUUUAAUAUCUGCAAACGUCUGCUUUAUGUGCUACUGUUAGUAGAAAAACCUUUUUUACAGUUCAUAACAUAGACUAUGUAGCCUGAAAAUUGUCGUAUGAAUAAACCAUUGAUAGUUGUCAAACGGAAUUGACCCAGAUUUGCAUGAACAUUUUUUAUGUUCAUUUUAAGCGAACGAGCUAAGUGCUUUAUUUCUAGAAUGCAACAAACGCUUGAGAACGCUAAUAGGAUAGUUCUUUCGAAUUUUCUUAACGAAUGUUUCCAUACAUAACUAUCGAUUUAAAAUGACUUUAUUUGUUGUGAGUAUUGUCAAAAUACGUUUUAACAUGUAAAACAUACCUAUACGAACAAGAAGAGCAUUUUUAUUAACUUUUCUUCGUUCAGUUAAAAGUUUGUUACGGAUUCCAGGUAUAUAUCGAAUCUCGUAAUUUUGUUUUGUUUCAAUUACAGAGGUUUCAAUACCUUAAUAUCAUUCGGCUCUUCGGACCAGAAAACCUUUCUGACCCUAUGUGCAGGAUUGGGAAUCGAACCCAGGUGGACUGCGUGAAAGGCAUUGACUAUCCCAUCACGCUAUACCCGUCCCCAGAUCUCGCAAUCAAAUUCGCUUAGCGAGAGACACCAUUAAACAUCAUUCAUCUUUUGAAUUAAGUAGAUACGUUAGAGGCUUAUGAACUGUAUAUAAAGUAAACUUUUUACCAUAUAAAUAAGGGCAGAAGUAUUUGCCCAUACUACAGUUAAUAGUUCUGUUUUCAUAGCUGAAUAUUUUUACUCGGUUUUGUUCAUAGUUUUGGAAGCCAAAGCUAUAGGCUAAUCACUUCCUACAAUUCCUUGAGAUAAAAGAGCGCCUGUUGCGAAGUUAGAAACGUCCGUGGUAAAAAUAAACUGAUUUUAAAAAUCAGAGUAUUGGGGUAUAUUUCUUCCGGAUAGAAUUUGUUUACACCUUUCGAUGGCAUCUAUAAACUUCAUUGAAUGUGAUAAGGUUUCGCCUUUUUCAAGGGUAUUGGUUAAAUGCUUGGCGAUUGUUGCAAAGUCCUUUAUACAUUUUCGAUAGUAUCCUGGAAUUCCUAGAAAACCUAGGCAGCGACCAUUCUUUUAUAAUUUUUAUCUUUUCUGGGUUUGGCUUAAAACGUUACGUGUCCCAAGAAUGUAAUUUCCUUCUGUAGGAACUUGUUCAUAUAGAAUUGCACUUUCAAAUUGUAUGUUCUCAUUGAUUGUGCUUCACCGGACUGGUAAAAGAAAGUUUAGUUCCUUCUUUCGGAUUAAGUGGUUUGUGGUUCGGUAAGACAGAUCUCGAAUGCGCGUGAAGGUUAAACUGUGUUGGUUUAAAGUGGUCUAAGAUAUGAUGAUUGGUGUAAGGGACUAAAUUGAGGUAUUCCUGGAGGUGGUAUGUGCCGUAAAAAUGCUCCUAAUGGAGACACGGGUGGUACUAUUGGCGGUUGUAUUUUCACGAGAGCUCUCUCGUAAUGAUAAUUUCCUUCUUUAAACACAAUCGCAACGCUCAAUGUUCUAAGACCUUGUGCUGUAAUCGUUGGCCUUAACGGCUCUUUAAGAUCGGAUAAAAAUACGCGUAGUCCUAGUUCUUGGUAAAAAGUAUUUUUUGCUGCUUUUAUCUUGCUGAAAUUCAGGAGGUUUAACAAAAGCGAAAUUGAGUGCGUAAAAUUUUUCCACCGAGCUUGUCAGCAGCUGUUUGUAAAAGUCUUGUGUUAGAGAAAAUUUGUCUCCCUUGUCUAAGUAGUGUGCGAUCAGUGUGUUUUUUCGUCUGUCCAAUCAAGUGAGGUACCGUAAAUUUAUAAUGCUGUAUCGGCGUCACCCACAAUUUUCGUGCGGAUGGCUUGCAUCCACACCGUAUAUUGGUGUUGCUUUCGCCUCUUGUAACAAAGGCAUCACGUUGUCUAUGACUGAUAAAGCUAUGCAAUUUGACGGGAAUUCUAUCAUAAUUAUAGGUUCCGAAUAAUUUGUGGAGUUUGAAAAUUUUUAAUAUUUUUUCCUAAGUUAGAAAUAAAGCUAUAAAUUUGGGUAUUCACGCGUGCCUGUGCGGCGGUCGCUGCGGUUUGUGCAUAUAUGGCUUCGAAAUGUAGCUCUUGAAUGUGAUGGUUCAACAUUAAAAAUCCUAUGUAAAUUUCAGAUUUGCUAUACGUUAGAAACAUUACUGCCACCUACUCAAUUGCUCGCCGCGAGCUUUCAAAACGUUCCACUACGUUCCAGAUCGAUAAGGAAAUUCUCAUGCCUGAAAUAUUCCAACUACAAUUUAAACACUUCUCCCACGAUUUCCCAAAGUGUAAAAGAUCAUUUUAUUUCGAUGUCGGUUGGAUAACAAUAAAUAACGAUGUCGUUUGAAUUCAAUCGGAAUAAAACAAAAAUAAACUAGUCAUUUUAACCAACAGCACCCAAAAAAUGCGGUACUACUAGAUUUUACACAAAAUUGGCAUAAACUCACACAAUAAGGUGGAUGAGCAUAGUUUGAUGAUUAUCAAUGGUGUGUUUACAUAUUCAUUUAAAUUUGAUCUUGUAGUAAAUAUAUUUAAUUAUAUCAUUGAAAAAAAUCUAUUGUAAAGAGCGAGAUUCACUAUAUUCGAUGCAGUGUUAUAUAGAUGAUAGGGAUAGAAAACCGCUGUAACAAGCUUGAACUAACCCAGUGUAAUAUGAUUUAAGUGAAAGCAAAGUGAAAAGUAAUACAUUGUUUGCUACAAAAUUUAGGUUUAACUAGCAUUUAAUUGUGUAUCGAAUAUAAUUUUUAAUUUUGUACGAGCAGAUGAAGUAAGGCAAGGUUGGUGAUUUUUAAAAAAUGUUACAUUAAAAUUUGGGUUUUCGUAAUAAAUACAUGUGUCUUGUGGAGAAAACA
Malaya genurostris is the source of this 16066-nucleotide RNA transcript. It is a transcript of the gene named protocadherin-like wing polarity protein stan, with no coding region annotated. The transcript is spliced from 12 exons. Lineage: Eukaryota; Metazoa; Arthropoda; Insecta; Diptera; Culicidae. The record is from RefSeq and is a predicted model, not a curated record.